GCGGAGCUUGCUCCGGCUGACGAGUGGCGGACGGGUGAGUAACGCGUAGGAAUCUGCCCAGUAGUGGGGGACAGCCCGAGGAAACUCGGAUUAAUACCGCAUACGCCCUAAGGGGGAAAGGGGGCCUUUGGCUCUCGCUAUUGGAGGAGCCUGCGUUGGAUUAGCUAGUUGGUGGGGUAACGGCCUACCAAGGCGACGAUCCAUAGCUGGUCUGAGAGGACGAUCAGCCACACUGGGACUGAGACACGGCCCAGACUCCUACGGGGGGCAGCAGUAAGGAAUCUUGUGCAAUGGGGGAAACCCUGACACAGCCAUGCCGCGUGUGUGAAGAAGGCCUUAGGGUUGUAAAGCACUUUCAGUAGAGACGAAUUAGCGGGGUUAAUAGCCCCGUGAAAUGACUUAACCUACAGAAGAAGAUCCGGCUAACUCCGUGCCAGCAGCCGCGGUAAUACGGAGGGAUCGAACGUUAAUCGGAAUUACUGGGCGUAAAGCGCGCGU
This 498-nucleotide ribosomal RNA is filed under the name uncultured bacterium. RNAcentral's name for it is "bacterial SSU rRNA". It matches the Rfam family "Bacterial small subunit ribosomal RNA", at positions 73 to 572 of the family's 1533-position model. The record is from RNAcentral.